RNAcentral lists this ribosomal RNA (119 nucleotides) under Triticum aestivum (bread wheat). RNAcentral also lists the same sequence under 1 other name. The record is from RNAcentral. Lineage: Eukaryota; Viridiplantae; Streptophyta; Magnoliopsida; Poales; Poaceae.
GGAUGCGAUCAUACCAGCACUAAAGCACCGGAUCCCAUCAGAACUCCGAAGUUAAGCGUGCAUGGGCGAGAGUAGUACUAGGAUGGGUGACCUCCUGGGAAGUCCUCGUGUUGCAUUCC